AGCAGUUGAAAUACACUGUAAUAAAACAUUCCAACCCAUGGUUAAACAUGGUUGCAAGCUAACGGUAACAGCUAAUGCUAAGAUCAAGGUCGACCAAAGACCUUAUCCUGAAAUGUUUAAAUACGUGUACUAUAAUUUAAUUUGCACACAUGGUGGAUUCAAUUCAAGCAAAGGAAUAGGGAAAAGAAAUUCAGGAUCAGCAAAAAAUAACUGUCCAGCUAAAAUUUAUGCUGCUUUAACAAAAGAUAGAACAAAAAUAAUUAUUAAACAAAUGAUAGAAACGCACAAUCAUGUUAUUGAACAAGAUCUUUACAAACACUAUGUCCAAAAUAGAAAGCUAUCAAAUGAAGAGAAGGCCAAAGUUUAAGAACUGAGUCGUCUUGGUGUUACUACUAAAGUAAUUGCUGAUGAAAUGAGAAAGAGUACAGGAAAAUCCAUAGUAAAUAAGGACAUUUGGAACAUUAAGGAUAAAAUUCGUCAAAAAGAAAAAAUAUGCCCAUCUUCAAGAAAUGUUUUAAAUGUUGCAGAACUGCUAGUGAAAGUAGUUGAGAAAAGAAGAGAGAGUGAUCUUGGACUGGUAUCACAAUAUGGUAUGUCAGAUGAUAAUACUCUUCAGUAUUUAUUUGUUCAAACUAGUGUAAUGAGAUCCAUAUUUAGUAAGUUUCCUGAGCACAUUUGUA
Molecule: non-coding RNA, 680 nt
Organism: Hydra vulgaris (swiftwater hydra)
Lineage: Eukaryota; Metazoa; Cnidaria; Hydrozoa; Anthoathecata; Hydridae
Source: RefSeq, a predicted model, not a curated record